Molecule: ribosomal RNA, 778 nt
Filed under: uncultured bacterium
Lineage: Bacteria
Description: bacterial SSU rRNA
Rfam family: Bacterial small subunit ribosomal RNA
Source: RNAcentral
CCGGGUAAUACCGCAUAGGGUAGUUUCUUCGCAUGGGGAGACUAGCAAAGCUUUGGAGCAAUCCAAGGCGCCACAGGGGGGGCUCGCGGCCUAUCAGCUAGUUGGGGGGGUAAUGGCCCACCAAGGCGACGACGGGUAGCUGGUCUGAGAGGAUGGCCAGCCACAUUGGGACUGAGAGACGGCCCAGACUCCUACGGGAGGCAGCAGUGGGGAAUCUUGCGCAAUGGCCGAAAGGCUGACGCAGCGACGCCGCGUGGGGGAGGAAGGCCUUCGGGUUGUAAACCCCUGUUGCCCGGGACGAAUGUGCACUUUAGAGUGCAUUGACGGUACCGGGUGAGGAAGCACCGGCUAACUCCGUGCCAGCAGCCGCGGUAAUACGGAGGGUGCAAGCGUUGUCCGGAAUCACUGGGCGUAAAGGGCGCGUAGGCGGCUCAUAAAGGCUGUGGUGAAAGUUCGGGGCUCAACCUCGAAUCGGCCGUGGCGACUUGUGGGCUGGAGCACUGUAGAGGCAGGUGGAAUUCCGGGUGUAGCGGUGGAAUGCGUAGAGAUCCGGAAGAACACCAGUGGCGAAAGCGGCCUGCUGGGCAGUGGCUGACGCUGAGGCGCGACAGCGUGGGGAGCAAACAGGAUUAGAUACCCUGGUAGUCCACGCCGUAAACGAUGGGCACUAGGUGCUUGGGGGAGCGACCCUCUGAGUGCCGGCGCUAACGCAUUAAGUGCCCCGCCUGGGGAGUACGGCCGCAAGGCUGAAACUCAAAGGAAUUGACGGAAUCGAAUU